CGCCGCGUGGAGGAUGAAGUAUCUUGGUACGUAAACUCCUUUCGAUAGGGAAGAUAAUGACGGUACCUAUAGAAGAAGCCCUGGCUAACUUCGUGC
RNAcentral lists this ribosomal RNA (96 nucleotides) under uncultured bacterium. Its description in RNAcentral is "partial 16S ribosomal RNA". It matches the Rfam family "Bacterial small subunit ribosomal RNA", at positions 395 to 508 of the family's 1533-position model. The record is from RNAcentral.